Molecule: small RNA, 850 nt
Filed under: Arabidopsis thaliana (thale cress)
Lineage: Eukaryota; Viridiplantae; Streptophyta; Magnoliopsida; Brassicales; Brassicaceae
Description: ATSL257140
Source: RNAcentral
UAUUUUUUUUUGUGCUAAUUUUUAUGUGAUUAAGAUUUAAUUGAUUUCGUAAAUAAAAUAUUAAAUUGUUUACGAACUUAUUUGUUUAUAAUUUAGUAAUAGAUAGAUAUUUGAAUAUUCAGUAUAUUUUGCUUUAGUUUAGGAAAUCUUUGAUGACCCGUCUUUAGAUCCAAUAAGCCCUAUAAUCUAGAUAUUAACCUGCUGUAUACCGCAAGUAGGCUUAUAUUUUAGUUAAACUAAAAACUUUUAUUGUAAAGAUGAUUUAAAAAUAUAUGAUAUUAUUUUAUUUGAUUUUAAAUGUAUAGUAAACUGUGAGUUGUAUAUGUUUUGUUGAUAUUAUCUAUAUUGUUUAGUGUUUAAGAUUAUACACUUGUAGUUUGAUUGUUAAUUUAAGAGUUUGACAUGUAGUAUACCAUCUUGUAUUAAUAUCGAUCUAAACCCGUUAAUUCUAGGAUUUUCCAGCUUGUAUUAAAAAUUGAAUCACAUCUAAUAUGUUAUUAAUUAUUGUAGUAUAUAAGAUUAUAAAUUUUCAAUAUAAUAUGUAUGAAAUUGAAUAUAAAUAUUUCAAAUUAUGACCCGUUACUCAGUAGAAAGUUUUCUUAAAUCUAUUUUUCAUCCGUUAUAAUAUUUUUCAUGUAUUGAACAGUUUAUAUUCGUUUUUAAAAUUCAAAUUAUGACAUAUGCGAAAAAAACUCUAAUUAUUUUUUUAUAAUGAUGAUAUUAUUUUUCGGCAAAAAUAGAAUCAUAUAAAGAUGAGAAGUGAAAUAUAAUAAUUAAUAAAAAAAUUAAUAUGAUAAUUUAGAUAUCAAAUCUAAUUUGUUGAUUUUAAUUGGUUACUUUUUUGGAACUU